ACUCCUGCGGGAGGCAGCAGUGGGGAAUAUUGCACAAUGGGCGCAAGCCUGAUGCAGCCAUGCCGCGUGUAUGAAGAAGGCCUUCGGGUUGUAAAGUACUUUCAGCGGGGAGGAAGGCAAUACGGUUAAUAACCGUGUUGAUUGACGUUACCCGCAGAAGAAGCACCGGCUAACUCCGUGCCAGCAGCCGCGGUAAUACGGAGGGUGCAAGCGUUAAUCGGAAUUACUGGGCGUAAAGCGCACGCAGGCGGUCUGUCAAGUCGGAUGUGAAAUCCCCGGGCUCAACCUGGGAACUGCAUUCGAAACUGGCAGGCUUGAGUCUUGUAGAGGGGGGUAGAAUUCCAGGUGUAGCGGUGAAAUGCGUAGAGAUCUGGAGGAAUACCGGUGGCGAAGGCGGCCCCCUGGACAAAGACUGACGCUCAGGUGCGAAAGCGUGGGGAGCAAACAGGAUUAGAAACCCUUGUAGUCCCA
RNAcentral lists this ribosomal RNA (471 nucleotides) under uncultured organism. RNAcentral describes it as "partial 16S ribosomal RNA". It matches the Rfam family "Bacterial small subunit ribosomal RNA", at positions 335 to 797 of the family's 1533-position model. The record is from RNAcentral.